CCUACGGGGUGCACCAGUGGGGAAUAUUGCACAAUGGGCGCAAGCCUGAUGCAGCCAUGCCGCGUGUAUGAAGAAGGCCUUAGGGUUGUAAAGUACUUUCAGCUGGGAGGAAGGCGUUGAUGCUAAUAUCAUCAACGAUUGACGUUACCAACAGAAGAAGCACCGGCUAACUCCGUGCCAGCAGCCGCGGUAAUACGGAGGGUGCAAGCGUUAAUCGGAAUUACUGGGCGUAAAGCGUACGCAGGCGGUCUGUCAAGUCGGAUGUGAAAUCCCCGGGCUCAACCUGGGAACUGCAUUCGAAACUGGCAGGCUAGAGUCUUGUAGAGGGGGGUAGAAUUCCAGGUGUAGCGGUGAAAUGCGUAGAGAUCUGGAGGAAUACCGGUGGCGAAGGCGGCCCCCUGGGCAAAGACUGACGCUCAGGUGCGAAAGCGUGGGGGGCAAACAGGAUUAGAUACCCGUGUAGUC
This 465-nucleotide ribosomal RNA is filed under the name uncultured bacterium. Its description in RNAcentral is "bacterial SSU rRNA". It matches the Rfam family "Bacterial small subunit ribosomal RNA", at positions 338 to 795 of the family's 1533-position model. The record is from RNAcentral.